This 250-nucleotide long non-coding RNA is filed under the name Gossypium raimondii (Peruvian cotton). RNAcentral describes it as "long non-coding RNA (GRAI_LNC009333)". Lineage: Eukaryota; Viridiplantae; Streptophyta; Magnoliopsida; Malvales; Malvaceae. The record is from RNAcentral.
UUUUUUGUUAAACGUUUGCGGCGGGGAUAGCCAUUGGAGAGCAAAAGAAGAAGGGGAAGUAGAGAAAAUGAUGAAGAAGGAGUUCAAAACAUCGUCGCCUGGUACCGAGAUGGAAAGUUGGGUUUCUUUGAUAGGGUCAGGUGAAGAGGAAAGAGAGAAAGGGAGAGGGGAAAGGGUAAUAGGAGAAAGGACUUGGUGAAUAGAAAGGGAACGGGUAAGGCCAUGGGAAGAUUAGGGAUUUCAUGGGGGG